CUUCCAAAGUCGAAGAAUUCAGUUGCGAUUACAUCGUACGACUUGCAUGAUCAAUUUUGCUCCCCAAGAAAAACGAAAAUAUUGACAAGAUGAAGUUCGGUAUUUUCACUAUUGUGGUUAUGAUUGUUAUGGCUAUGAUUGCUACGGCUAUGGCUUCUGAACGAAACUGUAAACCUUCCGGUCAGCCUUGUAGAUAUGUCUAUGACUGUUGUCAUGGUCAAUGUGUUUCUAACAAAUGUUCGUGAAAAGAAUUUGACAUCGCCUGGACUAAAUAAGAGACCUCUUGAUUCUGGACCACAUUUUUCAAAUAUGUUAAAAUAAUGAUUCAAGAAUGAUAAUAUUGCUCAACACUUCUUUGUAUUUGACCAUGGCACUAUUUUUCGUUUAUAUUUAUAAAAACAAAGAGAGAAUUUCUGUUAUAACUAACUUUAAAUAAAAACGUACAUUCAAAA
Long non-coding RNA from Wasmannia auropunctata (little fire ant), 452 nucleotides. RefSeq lists it as uncharacterized. The transcript is spliced from 3 exons. NCBI's taxonomy places the organism in Eukaryota, Metazoa, Arthropoda, Insecta, Hymenoptera, Formicidae. The record is from RefSeq and is a predicted model, not a curated record.